Molecule: non-coding RNA, 2362 nt
Organism: Lolium perenne
Lineage: Eukaryota; Viridiplantae; Streptophyta; Magnoliopsida; Poales; Poaceae
Source: RefSeq, a predicted model, not a curated record
AUUUUGUUUGUUCUUUUCUUUUAUGCAUCAUCAUGCAUUAUGCAUCAUAUCAUUCACAAGAUUUUUAUCAAAUAAAAUUAUUUUCGAAUAAAAACUAUUUCGGUUCCCUCCCAUAUGGUUUGUAUAUUAAACCAUCCCUUUAUCUUUUCCUUUACACAAACCCUAACACAAAAUUAUUUUAUUUUUGCUAUAAAACCUUUGGCUCUUAUUUUAUCUCUAUCUCUACCCUAUAUUCAAAACUCAACUUUUGUUGGUGCUGGUUCAAAACAAUUUGCUAAAAGAGGUUUCCUAAAAUAAACAAAAGAGAAAAAGGAUUUGCUAAAUAAAAAGAAAACCCUUCCCUCUCCCCUAGGCCUCUCUCUGGCCCAUCUCUCCCUCUCCAUCCAGCAACCCAUCUGCUUCCCUCUCCACCCAGUGGCCCAAGCCCACCUAGGCAUACCCCUUCGACCCCUUCCAUCGUUGUCUUCUUCACCUUUACAGGUCACCGAGCGCACGAGAGAAGGGUGAGCUCCUCCCCGCUGCCGUGGUCCUCCCCUCCACGUUCCACCACAACCACUCCCUCCACCUCUCUUUUAAUCCCCAUCCGAGCCACAGAAACCCUAGCAUAUUUCCUCCCUCGCGCCGCCACCGUUCUCCUCUUCAUCUCCCUCGAUUUUUCUUCUUCUCUGUGAACCACCGAACAACACCACCACCUCCCCACCAUGGCGCCACCGCUACCGACGCUCCCUCGCCGAGCUGAUACCACCAGAAGAACGGCAUCAUCGUCCUCGUCUUCCCCCUGCAAGGAAUCGAACCGGAGCCCUCUAAAUCUCCGGCGAAUUCGCCGAUUCCGUCUUCAAGUCCGGCGAGCAAAUCUUCAAUUCCGGCGACGCCGGUGACCCCUUGGUGUCGGCUCCGCUACCUCAUGUUUCCCCAAGUCAGGGCGCACCUUCGACGCCCUGUACUUCGUCCCGGUUCGCCCGGGAGCUCCAGGUCCGUGCUCGACCAGUGACGUCCGCCAUGGCUGCCUCCGUGAGCUCCGCCUCUACCUCCUUCAUGUUGCUGCGAGCCCUCCUCUUGACACGAUCCGACCAGUAGCAUACUGAUCUGGCGCUGAGAGUUGGUUUACCUUGCGCAUGAGAUCUUCCUAAUCGUCAAUAUCAUAUCCGCCGACGGGCCUUGAUCCGGUGUCUCGCCGACUGGGCCUCAGCCCACGUGCGCCCCAGCUUCUUCGUCGCCCAGCGUGCGAUGGGCCUCUAUCCGUUGCUCAGCAUUUGCUUCUUCUCGGAUAGGAUCGCGAAGUGGUGCGGUGAGAUACGACAAGUUCUCCGGAUGUUCCUCGGCAAGCUUUAACAGGCAAGCAUUUCCCCUAUACUUCUGCCCCUGCAGAAGUCGCUCACCUAUUUUAUUUUGCCUUCUCCCUCAUGCUAUCCUUAUGUUGCGUUCUUGUCACGUGUCCCUUCCACUUGUUACCUCAAGCAGCCUAUAUUGCCUCCACCAACCUCCUACAGUUGUUGUUUGGUUUCGGGUCUGCCUUGCGAGUCGUAGUGCAUGCUAGUGCAGUUAUAUCUCGUUACCGUUACCGCUAUCUUAUCGGUUAUCUGUUGGGAAACAUGACACAUGGUUUAUGGAUAUAUCUGUUGAGGGUAUCAUGGUUACUUGUUAAUAGUUGUUAGCGGAGGCAUCGGUGGGUCAGCUGAUCGUUUUGUGACGGCUCACUUGUGUUUCUUUAAAGCUUAGGACCCGAGUUCCUGUUAUCUGUUCCGAGACUGAGCGCUCUAACCACACGUGGGUAUGCUUCUGGGUCUCCCCUCGACCACUGCCGGAAUCUACAGCUUUGUCCAGUUGCCACAACUAGUUUGCAAUGUUUUACCAUUUGUUGUUGCGUGCAUGCCAGCCUGUUACUUAUUUAUUUUGGGAAGCCCCUGGGUGCCUUGUAUCCCUUGUUUCUGGUAUGCACGUAUAGGUCGCGGAGCCGCUGCGAAGUGGUUUAUCGCCCCAGUGUGUGUUUAAACCACCUAGUACGCUGUCGCAAACAGCUAGGUCCGCUUCGGAGAUACGGCCGGACUUCGAUUCGGGUUCAACUUGGUUAGGUGGCUUCCUGGACAUUGUUGUCGUGAAGGAGAGUGCGAGUCGUUAUAUCCACCUGUCGCAAGUGGGUUGAUCGUGCGUGUGGGCACAUUUGGGCACCCCUGCAGGGUUAAAUCUUAUCGAUAAGCCGCGUCCGCGGUUAUGGACGACUUGGAGCUGUAUGACUCGACCAUAGACAACUUACACCUGUUGUUUCAAUCAUAAUAACUUGUGUAGUAAGUUAGCACAACUCUAAUAAUAAAUGGUUAAAACUUGACAACCGUGUGAGUGCCUUUGUAAGUACUUCCUUGCG